GGAUUCCCCUAGUAACUGCGAGUGAAGCGGGAAAAGCUCAAAUUUAAAAUCUGGUAGUCUUUGGCUGCCCGAGUUGUAAUCUGGAGAAGCGCUUUCCGCGCUGGACCGUGUACAAGUCUCCUGGAACGGAGCGUCAUAGAGGGUGAGAAUCCCGUCUUUGACACGGACUACCAGUGCUUUGUGAUGCGCUCUCAAAGAGUCGAGUUGUUUGGGAAUGCAGCUCAAAAUGGGUGGUAAACUCCAUCUAAAGCUAAAUAUUGGCGAGAGACCGAUAGCGAACAAGUACCGUGAGGGAAAGAUGAAAAGCACUUUGGAAAGAGAGUUAAACAGUACGUGAAAUUGCUGAAAGGGAAACGCUUGAAGUCAGUCGCGUUUGCUAGGACUCAGCCUUGCCUCGGCUUGGUGCAUUUCCUAGUAGACGGGCCAGCAUCACUUUUGGCUGCGGGAAAAAGGUCAGAGGAAUGUGGCACCUUCGGGUGUGUUAUAGCCUCUGGCUGUAUACCGUGGCUGGGAGUGAGGAAUUCAGCACGCCUUCAUGGCGGGGCUUCGGCCACCUUCGUGCUUAGGAUGCUGGCGUAAUGGCUUUAAACGACCCGUCUUGAAACACGGACCAAGGAGUCUAACAUGCCUGCGAGUGUUUGGGUGGAAAACCCGAGCGCGUAAUGAAAGUGAUAGUUGGGACCUCUGUCGUGGAGGGCACCGACGCCCGGACCAGACCUUCUGUGACGGAUCCGCGGUAGAGCAUGUAUGUUGGGACCCGAAAGAUGGUGAACUAUGCCUGAAUAGGGUGAAGCCAGAGGAAACUCUGGUGGAGGCUCGUAGCGAUUCUGACGUGCAAAUCGAUCGUCAAAUUUGGGUAUAGGGGCGAAAGACUAAUCGAACCAUCUAGUAGCUGGUUCCUGCCGAAGUUU
RNAcentral lists this ribosomal RNA (911 nucleotides) under Phanerochaete sp. RNAcentral describes it as "partial large subunit ribosomal RNA". It matches the Rfam family "Eukaryotic large subunit ribosomal RNA", at positions 72 to 969 of the family's 3401-position model. Lineage: Eukaryota; Fungi; Basidiomycota; Agaricomycetes; Polyporales; Phanerochaetaceae. The record is from RNAcentral.